RNAcentral lists this long non-coding RNA (203 nucleotides) under Nicotiana benthamiana. RNAcentral's name for it is "long non-coding RNA (NBEN_LNC005885)". The record is from RNAcentral. Lineage: Eukaryota; Viridiplantae; Streptophyta; Magnoliopsida; Solanales; Solanaceae.
UUUUCUCCAAGUUUCCUUGCAGUCCAGAUAUCUGGGAGAAGUUAUCAAACUCUUUCAGUAAGAGCCUUAGGGAAAUUUCAUCUCCUCUACAGCACAUCAGGAGGUCAUCUGCAAAACAGAUAUGAGUGAGUUGUAACUUGGAACAUUUGGGAUGGAAAUUGAAGUCUGGGCUCCUGUUUAAUUGCUUCAGUGUUCUGUUGAGG